Molecule: small nucleolar RNA, 132 nt
Organism: Arvicanthis niloticus (Nile rat)
Lineage: Eukaryota; Metazoa; Chordata; Mammalia; Rodentia; Muridae
Product: small nucleolar RNA SNORA17
Source: RefSeq, a predicted model, not a curated record
CCUGCUCUCAGAGACAGUUUAGGUGUGGCUGCUUUGUCACAGGUGCUUCUGUAGCUGGCAGAGAGGCAAGAGGCUACCUCUAUGCUCAGUGUUCUGACCUGUGAACAUCUAAAGGAUUAGGAGCCUAACACU